This 1318-nucleotide long non-coding RNA is filed under the name Homo sapiens (human). Its description in RNAcentral is "HSALNT0402809". Lineage: Eukaryota; Metazoa; Chordata; Mammalia; Primates; Hominidae. The record is from RNAcentral.
UGAGGCUUGGCAGAGCAGGAGCCCUCCGUGGCAGUGCUUGGGUAUCGAGGCUCUGAGGCUCCGGCCUCACCUCCCCACAGGGUCGAAGGCAACGUCUCCGGAUGCCAGCACUCGCAAAGGGCCGACCAUGAUGAUGAAACCCCAGGCGGAGACCUGGAAGCAGCACGGGAGCCCAGCCUCAGGCCUGCACGGACGGUGUUGGUUGGGAAGGUCCUUAGCACUCACCAGGAACAGUGGUUGCCUCUAGGAAUGAAAUGGGAUGACGGAAGACCUGGGGAGCCGUGGCAGGAGGAGACACUCAUGAUGCGCCUUUUGGCCAUAGUCACUGUCAUGGCUAAGAAAGCAACUCCAACCCACACACUGCAAAUAUGAAGGACCACGAAAGGCACGCAGGCUCUGGUUUGCAUAGUGAAGAUGAGCGUCUGUGUUCCUAAGCAUGAAGGAGGACCACAUGAGUAUCCUGGACACCUACUGCAUGAAUGUAUUCGCCCUUUCAGAUCUAGGGACCUGCAUCUCCUGGACAGUCAGCCGAGUGUUUCCAUGAUACCAGCCAUACCUGAUGCCAGGAGACUCGCUACACUUGGAAGCUCUUCAAGGUUUAACAGCCUCCCAGGAUGUCAACUGGAAGAUCAUGCCACUCCUGACAAUGAGAAGAGGAGUUCCCUGUGCAAGGGAAGCACAUGGUAGGGUUAAUGCUACAUGGAACAUGAACUCUGAAGACCCUCAUUUUGGUUUCCAUGAAGGUGGUGAAGGUUCUCCAAAUAAAAGCAUUUCCAAUAAGGGUGAAGAGUAGAGAGCAGUGAUGUUUCCAAAAAGUUUAGAAUUCCUCCUUCAAAUGACUUCCUAAUGAAUAUCAGAAGGCAAUGUGUGGAGUCACAAGUCAUUGGAAUGGCACCCACUGUGUAAUUUCAACAAAACACUUCAUCCCUCUGAGCCUCUGGUGGCUCAUCUGUAAAUUAAGGCAAAUUCUAUCUUCAAAUUUCUUCACUCUUUGAUCAACAACUUUUAUUCAACUUUGUUGAAAAGAACAAAAAAAUUGCAUCUCUGGUUGAAUUUGGUGGCUCUUUUUCUGGUUAAUAUAAAACGUGACUGUCAGAAUCCCAUCUCUAAAUCUUUGUCAAAUUCGUGUGGCCUCCUUUGUGUGCAGUUUACUAGUACAGCCCCAUAAUACUGGAUAAGAUUUUCCCUAAACUUCUGUGAUUUAAAUGAGAUGGUGGUUGCCUGCACUCAGACUGGUAAAUGGGUUGGUCCCGAGAACACUUACAGAAGCACCUUGCCUUGUUAUUUGGCUUUAGCAUUGUAUUAAAAAGUUAGUAGA